UAGUUUGAUCAUGGACUCAGAACGAACGCUGGCGGCAUGCCUAACACAUGCAAGUCGAACGAGACCUUCGGGUCUAGUGGCGCACGGGUGCGUAACACGUGGGAAUUUGCCUCGGGGUAUGGAAUAACUCAGGGAAACUUGAGCUAAUACCAUAUAAUGUCUUCGGACCAAAGAUUUAUCGCCCUGAGAUAAGCCCGCGUAGGAUUAGCUAGUUGGUGAGGUAAAGGCUCACCAAGGCGACGAUCCUUAGCUGGUCUGAGAGGAUGAUCAGCCACACUGGGACUGAGACACGGCCCAGACUCCUACGGGAGGCAGCAGUGGGGGAAUAUUGGACAAUGGGCGAAAGCCUGAUCCAGCAAUGCCGCGUGAGUGAUGAAGGCCUUCGGGUUGUAAAGCUCUUUUACUCGGGACGAUAAUGACGGUACCGAGAGAAUAAGCCCCGGCUAACUCCGUG
This 454-nucleotide ribosomal RNA is filed under the name uncultured bacterium. RNAcentral's name for it is "bacterial SSU rRNA". It matches the Rfam family "Bacterial small subunit ribosomal RNA", at positions 9 to 507 of the family's 1533-position model. The record is from RNAcentral.